Molecule: transfer RNA, 90 nt
Filed under: Acidobacteriota bacterium
Lineage: Bacteria; Pseudomonadati; Acidobacteriota
Description: Acidobacteria bacterium (wastewater metagenome) tRNA-Ser
Rfam family: tRNA
About the family: Transfer RNA (tRNA) molecules are approximately 80 nucleotides in length. Their secondary structure includes four short double-helical elements and three loops (D, anti-codon, and T loops).
Source: RNAcentral
GGAGGGAUGGCCGAGCGGUCGAAGGCGGCGGUCUUGAAAACCGCAGUCCGGGCAACCGGACCGGGGGUUCGAAUCCCUCUCCCUCCGCCA